AGCCCACUUUUUAUUAUGCCCAGUCUUUUGGGCCUUGGCUCAAAAAGAGGAAGUGCGAUUGGACCAACCAGUAUUGAAGACUCUCUUCUGUUUUCCCUUCUUCCUGUGUUUAGGUGUGUAUCAUCGGAGAGUGAAGAUUCAGUUUUCGAUUUUCCGAUUCGCUUAAGUGUGCGAGUGAGGAACAUGGACGGUGCCGAAUUGCCGAACAUAAAGAAAUGGAUCGUGAUGUAUCCUGUUUACAUAAAUUCCAAGAAAACGAUGGCCGAAGGAAGACGCAUUGGUCUCGCGAAAGCAUGCGAAAACCCUACUUGCGCUGAAAUUGGUGAUUGCUGCAGCUAUCUUAAACUUCCUUUUGCAAUUGAGAUAGACAAGGCGUACCCUCGUGAUUUCAUGCAAAGAGGGCGCGUGAGGGUGUUGCUGAAAAAGGAGGAUGGGACUCUGUUUAAUUCCUCCAUUUCAUCAAGUAAGAUGUUAUUGUCUGUCAAAUUAGAUUUAUACGUUUAUUUUUUGUAUAUACACCUGAAUCGAUGUUUUACUUGGAUAGGAAUGUAGUCAAUGUACAGUUGUUAGUGUCUUGAUUGCCAGAUUAGGUUUUUCUUGCUGAGGAUAGGAAUGUUUUUGUUGUUGAAGCCUAGCUAGAAGGUUUCUGUAAUGUACGAUUGUCAGUGUAUGAUUCCCAGGUUUUGAUGUCUUUUCGCAACUGUGAUGUUGGCAUUCACUUGCCGAUUGAGUUUGAACUGUGUUAGAACCCAAAACAAAUUGUCAGGCCCCAAAGAGCAAUUGGUCCAACAAUUGUCACAUGGACCCAAGGUCUGGAAGGUUUACACUAGGAGCUGGGGUGCUAUGCUGGUGGAGAGAGAAAGGAGAGUAACAGUUUCGGGGGU
Non-coding RNA from Cajanus cajan (pigeon pea), 884 nucleotides. The record is from RefSeq and is a predicted model, not a curated record. Lineage: Eukaryota; Viridiplantae; Streptophyta; Magnoliopsida; Fabales; Fabaceae.